GACGAACGCUGGCGGCGUGCUUAAUGAAUGCGAGUCGAACGAGAUUCGAUCUGCGUCUUCGGACAAGGAUUGUUGAGAGUGGCGAACGGGUGAGUAACACGUGGGCAACCUGCCUCCAAGACGGGCAUAACAGAGGGAAACUUCUGCUAAUUCCCGAUAUACUGGUACCACACAAGUGAGUAUCAGGAAAGCUUUUGCGCUUGGAGAUGGGCCCGCGGCCGAUUAGCUUGUUGGUGGGGUAACGGCCCACCAAGGCGACGAUCGGUAGCCGACCUGAGAGGGUGACCGGCCACACUGGGACUGAGACAUGGUCCAGACUCCUACGGGAGUUAGCAUCAGGGAAUCUUGCGCAAUGGGCGAAAGCCUGACGCAGCGACGCCGCGUGUGGGAUGAAGGUCUGC
RNAcentral lists this ribosomal RNA (401 nucleotides) under uncultured bacterium. Its description in RNAcentral is "bacterial SSU rRNA". It matches the Rfam family "Bacterial small subunit ribosomal RNA", at positions 28 to 419 of the family's 1533-position model. The record is from RNAcentral.